RNAcentral lists this unclassified non-coding RNA (253 nucleotides) under uncultured Diplodia. Its description in RNAcentral is "sequence contains ITS2". Lineage: Eukaryota; Fungi; Ascomycota; Dothideomycetes; Botryosphaeriales; Botryosphaeriaceae. The record is from RNAcentral.
AACGCACAUUGCGCCCCCUGGCAUUCCGGGGGGCAUGCCUGUUCGAGCGUCAUUACAACCCUCAAGCUCUGCUUGGUAUUGGGCGCCGUCCUCUCUGCGGACGCGCCUUAAAGACCUCGGCGGUGGCUGUUCAGCCCUCAAGCGUAGUAGAAUACACCUCGCUUUGGAGCGGUUGGCGUCGCCCGCCGGACGAACCUUCUGAACUUUUCUCAAGGUUGACCUCGGAUCAGGUAGGGAUACCCGCUGAACUUAA